AUCAUAAACAAGGAUAACACAUUUUACCUGGUCAUGCAGUACCAGUACUCUGUUUACACUACUUGGUCCCCUGGACAUGAAGCUGGUUUCACCAUUGUCAAUACACUAAUUCCUUGGCUUCUAAUUCUGUCUAGCAUGUACUCUCCAGGUCUGCUUUACCUAUAGUGCUGAGCUAUUGUAAUAUUACGGUUUUUAUGACUUGCGUUAAGCUUGAAGCUUUCAAACCAUGUGUCAAAGUGUGAUAUGGAUUUAUUGACUUUGCAGUGGACGCUCGAACCAGUGAAACCAGUGGGCGUGCAGGCAGCUGCGGCAGCCCUGAAAUCUCCCUUUUCUCCCCCUCUCCUCCAAACGCUGCAGUUAAAAUGCUGGUGUGUUCUGGUGAUUCGUCUCCAGCUGCUGCUGUUGAUGGGAUUGCUGAAGAAACAGGAAUGUGAAGUUACUAGCCCAAAGCUGUAUAGCAGGCCAGUAGCAAACCCAGGAAUGGAAGCCAAGUCUCCUAAGCUGCAGUCUGAGCUCUAAUUAAGAAGAAAUUUUGCCCUCUGAUGUUGCAAUGGGGUAAGCCAUAGCAAUACCUGUAUAUUCAUAAUUUAGCUGAGGGGAACACAUUUGAAUGUGUAUGUUUGCCUGUGCUCUUGUAAAUAAUUUAGAAUAAUUCUUUGAAUUUUAAUUCUGAAUUGAACUUUCAAUACUCUUUUCUUUUUAACUAGACAUUUUUUCACAAAUAUUUAUUCACAAGUCGUGUUUAAAACACGGUUCUCAAAAUCUAAAAUUUAUUAAAAUUACCACACAUUCAUUUCCAAAAAUAUCCCAGGGUAGCUUCAGUAAUUCAGAUGUCUAGAUUUUCCAGAAUCCAACUUUAAACUUAUUUUCAGGGCACUGAGCAUCUGCACUUCACCUUGCCUUUAUAGCAAACUGUGGCUAGCUAGCAUCUUAGAAAAAGGAAAUGAAGUUGUGUAUGUCCAACAAGGAUUUUCUUGGUAUUGGAAGUCGCUUUUGGAAAUAUUGCUGUAAAUGCACUGGAAGGAUCAAAAGCUCCAGUCUGGCUUCAGUUUAGCUGGAGGGGAGCC
This 1067-nucleotide long non-coding RNA is filed under the name Struthio camelus australis. RNAcentral's name for it is "lncRNA (ENSSCUG00000010380.1)". The record is from RNAcentral. Lineage: Eukaryota; Metazoa; Chordata; Aves; Struthioniformes; Struthionidae.